UUUGAUCCUGGCUCAGAUUGAACGCUGGCGGCAGGCCUAACACAUGCAAGUCGAGCGGCAGCGGAAAGUAGCUUGCUAUAACAUCCUUAGUGGCGCACGGGUGAGUAACGCGUGAGCAACCUGCCCAUAAGUUGGGGAUAGCCCUGGGAAACCGGGAUUAAUACCGAAUGUGGUAGCAAUACUAAAGCAGUAAUGCGCUUAUGGAGGGGCUCGCGUCCUAUUAGUUAGUUGGUGAGGUAACGGCUCACCAAGGCGAUGACGGGUAGCCGGUCUGAGAGGAUGUCCGGCCACACUGGAACUGAGACACGGUCCAGACACCUACGGGUGGCAGCAGUCGAGAAUCAUUCACAAUGGGGGCAACCCUGAUGGUGCGACGCCGCGUGGGGGAAGAAGGUCUUCGGAUUGUAAACCCCUGUCAUGUGGGAGCAAGCAGCAAUGUUGAUAGUACCACAAGAGGAAGAGACGGCUAACUCUGUGCCAGCAGCCGCGGUAAUACAGAGGUCUCAAGCGUUGUUCGGAAUCACUGGGCGUAAAGAGUACGUAGGCUGUCAUGUAAGUCAGGAGUGAAAGGCAGGGGCUCAACCCCUGGACUGCUUUUGAUACUGCGUGACUGGAGUAAUGGAGGGGGAACCGGAAUUCUCGGUGUAGCAGUGAAAUGCGUAGAUAUCGAGAGGAAGACUCGUGGCGAAGGCGGGUUCCUGGACAUUAACUGACGCUGAGGUACGAAGGCCAGGGUAGCGAAAGGGAUUAGAUACCCCUGUAGUCCUGGCAGUAAACGGUGCACGCUUGGUGUGUGAGGGAUCGACCCCUUACGUGCCGGAGCUAACGCGUUAAGCGUGCCGCCUGGGGAGUACGGUCGCAAGAUUAAAACUCAAAUGAAUUGACGGGGGCCCGCACAAGCGGUGGAGCAUGUGGUUUAAUUCGAUGCAACGCGAAGAACCUUACCUACUCUUGACAUCCAGAGAAUUUGCUAGAGAUAGCUUAGUGCCUUCGGGAACUCUGAGACAGGUGCUGCAUGGCUGUCGUCAGCUCGUGUUGUGAAAUGUUGGGUUAAGACCCGCAACGAGCGCAACCCUUAUCCUUUGUUGCCAGCACGUAAUGGUGGGAACUCAAAGGAGACUGCCGGUGAUAAACCGGAGGAAGGUGSGGAUGACGUCAAGUCAUCAUGGCCCUUACGAGUAGGGCUACACACGUGCUACAAUGGCAUAUACAAAGAGAAGCGAACUCGCGAGAGCAAGCGGACCUCAUAAAGUAUGUCGUAGUCCGGAUUGGAGUCUGCAACUCGACUCCAUGAAGUCGGAAUCGCUAGUAAUCGUAGAUCAGAAUGCUACGGUGAAUACGUUCCCGGGCCUUGUACACACCGCCCGUCACACCAUGGGAGUGGGUUGCUCCAGAGGUAGCUAGGCUAACCUCGUGAGGCCGGUUACCACGGAGUGAUUCAUGACUGGGGUGAAGUCGUAACAAGGUAACCA
RNAcentral lists this ribosomal RNA (1472 nucleotides) under uncultured bacterium. RNAcentral describes it as "bacterial SSU rRNA". It matches the Rfam family "Bacterial small subunit ribosomal RNA". The record is from RNAcentral.